GACCUGGCUGUCCCGAGAAUGUUGCGUCCCUUGAAACUUUCUCACAUGAAUUAGUAUUCUCAGGUCUCAGUUUGCAGAGGUCGGGAUUAUGUGCCAGGUGCUGUCACCUCUUGUAAAAACACUUGCUUCUUCAGCCCUUCCCCUUAGACUCUGUCACCUACUUCACCCCGUUUGGAGAUAAUCUGCCGAUCUGUGUAUCCAGCUCCUUGUCUGUCUCCCGUCUGACCAUCUUUGAUAAUUUCAGAGCCUAUGUGGCCAACCCAUUCAACAUCGGGCCUCGUCUUUAGCGACCCUUAUAUCAGCCUCCCAAUCCCAG
Molecule: long non-coding RNA, 316 nt
Filed under: Homo sapiens (human)
Lineage: Eukaryota; Metazoa; Chordata; Mammalia; Primates; Hominidae
Description: LHRI_LNC47.1
Source: RNAcentral